Molecule: ribosomal RNA, 320 nt
Filed under: uncultured bacterium
Lineage: Bacteria
Description: bacterial SSU rRNA
Rfam family: Bacterial small subunit ribosomal RNA
Source: RNAcentral
UGACGGUACCUGACUAAGAAGCCCCGGCUAACUACGUGCCAGCAGCCGCGGUAAUACGUAUGGUGCAAGCGUUAUCCGGAUUUACUGGGUGUAAAGGGAGCGUAGACGGUAUGGCAAGUCUGAAGUGAAAGCUCGGGGCUCAACCCCGGAACUGCUUUGGAAACUGUCGCACUAGAGUGCAGGAGAGGUAAGUGGAAUUCCUAGUGUAGCGGUGAAAUGCGUAGAUAUUAGGAGGAACACCAGUGGCGAAGGCGGCUUACUGGACUGUAACUGACGUUGAGGCUCGAAAGCGUGAGGAGCAAACAGGAUUAGAUACCCUG